This 437-nucleotide ribosomal RNA is filed under the name Acanthamoeba genotype T4. Its description in RNAcentral is "SSU rRNA". The stretch from base 1 to 365 matches the Rfam family "Eukaryotic small subunit ribosomal RNA", at positions 766 to 1114 of the family's 1831-position model. Lineage: Eukaryota; Discosea; Longamoebia; Acanthamoebidae. The record is from RNAcentral.
UUUGGGGGUCAGCAGGCAGAUUCAAUUUUCUGCCACCGAAUACAUUAGCAUGGGAUAAUGGAAUAGGACCCUGUCCUCCUAUUUUCAGUUGGUUUUGGCAGCGCGAGGACUAGGGUAAUGAUUAAUAGGGAUAGUUGGGGGCAUUAAUAUUUAAUUGUCAGAGGUGAAAUUCUUGGAUUUAUGAAAGAUUAACUUCUGCGAAAGCAUCUGCCAAGGAUGUUUUCAUUAAUCAAGAACGAAAGUUAGGGGAUCGAAGACGAUCAGAUACCGUCGUAGUCUUAACCAUAAACGAUGCCGACCAGCGAUUAGGAGACGUUGAAUACAAAACACCACCAUCGGCGCGGUCGCCCUUGGCGUUCGUGUUCACGCACGGGCGCGAGGGCGGCUUAGCCCGAUGGCACCGGUGAAUGACUCCCCUACCACUUUGCGAGAAAGAA